RNAcentral lists this ribosomal RNA (253 nucleotides) under uncultured bacterium. RNAcentral's name for it is "partial 16S ribosomal RNA". It matches the Rfam family "Bacterial small subunit ribosomal RNA", at positions 524 to 776 of the family's 1533-position model. The record is from RNAcentral.
UACAGGGGGUGCAAACGUUGCUCGGAAUCAUUGGGCGUAAAGCGCACGUAGGCGGUUCGUUAUGUCGGAUGUGAAAGCCCUUGGCUUAACCGAGGAAGUGCAUCCGAAACUGGCGAGCUAGAGUACGAAAGAGGAUCGCGGAAUUCCCGGUGUAGGGGUGAAAUUCGUAGAUAUCGGGAGGAACACCGGUGGCGAAGGCGGCGAUCUGGGUCGAUACUGACGCUGAGGUGCGAAAGCGUGGGGAGCAAACAGG